Molecule: long non-coding RNA, 274 nt
Organism: Portunus trituberculatus (swimming crab)
Lineage: Eukaryota; Metazoa; Arthropoda; Malacostraca; Decapoda; Portunidae
Exons: 2
Source: RefSeq, a predicted model, not a curated record
AUUUUAUAAGAAGUUUGAAUGAUAGAGGAAGUGUAUACGAUGAUGUCGACAUUUUGCGUAGGAGAACACUAAGAAGAUCCGACAUUGUUAGCUGGAAGGGUAGACAUUGACAGUUUUUGAACAUUUGUGGAGCAGAGGUGCACCAUGGCUUGCCACAAUGUCACAAUGGGUUCUUGGAGAGCCGCUGCUGUUGACUUGCUGCAUGUCUCCUCUCUGCGGCAAAACUCCACAAAUACUCCACUCACCAAGUUCCAGAGGGAGAGGUGAGUGUGUU